AUGCUUCAGGUCCAGGAUAAGGUUAGUCAGAAGAUUAAACCCCCUUUCAAAUUUUUCAAGUUCAGGUUAACUGUUGGUGGUGUGGUAGCGAAGGCUUGGAGGGAAGCUCAUGGUGGUUCUCAUGCAGAGAGGAUCACUAAGCUCCUUAGGAAGAUGAGGUCAGCUUUAUCCCAGUGGAACAAAAAAGUGGUUGGGAAUCUGUUUGAGAAGGCCAAGCAUCUUGAGGAGCAGAUCCAAAACA
Molecule: long non-coding RNA, 241 nt
Filed under: Elaeis guineensis (African oil palm)
Lineage: Eukaryota; Viridiplantae; Streptophyta; Magnoliopsida; Arecales; Arecaceae
Description: long non-coding RNA (EGUI_LNC032749)
Source: RNAcentral